RNAcentral lists this ribosomal RNA (231 nucleotides) under uncultured bacterium. RNAcentral's name for it is "partial 16S ribosomal RNA". It matches the Rfam family "Bacterial small subunit ribosomal RNA", at positions 103 to 334 of the family's 1533-position model. The record is from RNAcentral.
CGGGUGAGUAACACGUGGGUGAUCUGCCCUGCACUUUGGGAUAAGCCUGGGAAACUGGGUCUAAUACCGAAUACACCUUGCUGGUUGCAUGACUGGUGGGGGAAAGCUUUUGCGGUGUGGGAUGGGCCCGCGGCCUAUCAGCUUGUUGGUGGGGUGAUGGCCUACCAAGGCGACGACGGGUAGCCGGCCUGAGAGGGUGUCCGGCCACACUGGGACUGAGAUACGGCCCAG